AUUGUAGUCUGCAACCCGACUACAUGAAGCCGGAAUCGCUAGUAAUCGCGGAUCAGAAUGCCGCGGUGAAUACGUUCCCGGGUCUUGUACACACCGCCCGUCACACCAUGGGAGCCGGUAAUGCCCGAAGUCUGUGGCCCAACCGAAAGGAAGGAGCAGCCGAAGGCAGGCCCGGUGACUGGGGUGAAGUCGUAACAAGGUACC
Molecule: ribosomal RNA, 204 nt
Filed under: uncultured bacterium
Lineage: Bacteria
Description: partial 16S ribosomal RNA
Rfam family: Bacterial small subunit ribosomal RNA
Source: RNAcentral